This 497-nucleotide ribosomal RNA is filed under the name uncultured bacterium. Its description in RNAcentral is "partial 16S ribosomal RNA". It matches the Rfam family "Bacterial small subunit ribosomal RNA", at positions 28 to 507 of the family's 1533-position model. The record is from RNAcentral.
GAUGAACGCUGGCGGCGUGCCUAAUACAUGCAAGUCGAGCGAACGGACGAGAAGCUUGCUUCUCUGAUGUUAGCGGCGGACGGGUGAGUAACACGUGGAUAACCUACCUAUAAGACUGGGAUAACUUCGGGAAACCGGAGCUAAUACCGGAUGAUAUUUUGAACCGCAUGGUUCAAAAGUGAAAGUCGGUCUUGCUGUCACUUAUAGAUGGAUCCGCGCUGCAUUAGCUAGUUGGUAAGGUAACGGCUUACCAAGGCAACGAUGCAUAGCCGACCUGAGAGGGUGAUCGGCCACACUGGAACUGAGACACGGUCCAGACUCCUACGGGAGGCAGCAGUAGGGAAUCUUCCGCAAUGGGCGAAAGCCUGACGGAGCAACGCCGCGUGAGUGAUGAAGGUCUUCGGAUCGUAAAACUCUGUUAUUAGGGAAGAACAUAUGUGUAAGUAACUGUGCACAUCUUGACGGUACCUAAUCAGAAAGCCACGGCUAACUACGUG